Molecule: long non-coding RNA, 3392 nt
Organism: Acinonyx jubatus (cheetah)
Lineage: Eukaryota; Metazoa; Chordata; Mammalia; Carnivora; Felidae
Exons: 3
Source: RefSeq, a predicted model, not a curated record
UGCCAGGCAGGCAGCAAUAAAGAUUCCGAUCUUCGUACCAGAGAUCUGAUGCCUCUUUCCCCCUCGUUCUCAGUCUUCAUUUUAAUACCUACCUUGAAGAUGGUUAAUUGUCUCAUACUGGCGGCUGAGAAGCGGAAGAGGAGAGAGGAUUCAUGAUUCCAACCAGGGUGCUGCCUCUCUGUGACCUUGGGCCCAUAGUUCUCACCCUUACUGAGCCUCAGUUUCUCCGUCUGCGAAAUGGAGCUGGAACAUGUUAGCCUGGACUUGCCUUUCAAGUCUGUGGUCAGUAGCUUCUCCCAGCUCCUUCUUCUAGUCUGCAGAAGAAUUCUCACUCCUUCUUCAGCUCUCCCUCUGCAGCAAGGGUGCAGAAUUGGAUGGUGCUGGCUUGCCACAGGUUGUGCUGGGGCUCCAGGGACAUAGAAUGGUUGGCUGCUUAGGGGCUUCCAUUACACAAGGGGCAGAGAAAGGACUUGGCUUCCUCCUUUCUGGACCUGAGGGGCUUCUACUUUAGACCCGGAGAUUUUCCCUCCUAUGGCAGGGCCAGAGAGAGGUGGCCAAGUGUCCAGGGAUGCCUCCGUUCCUCUGUUCUGAAUGCACUUGUCUCCUUUGGGAAGAUAGGGAGUGAACGUGAUGGGGAGUCACCACUGGGAAGCUCAUUGAGCUUUCAGCCCUGUCCCUUGAGUGUCUGCACUUGGCAUUGAGAUAGGGUGGCAUGGAGUAGAAGGCUGGCCCCAAAGGUGAAAGGGAGCCUCUACCCCAGCUCCUUUUACUCCUGUCUCUAUUCACCCUGACGCCAGAGGAGUGUGUGAGUGUUUAGGGGGGAGGCAAGAGAGCAAGAGAGGCAGGGCACUUCAUGGGAGCUGGAGAACUGGGCCCCUGUGCAGGUGGUGGUGGUGGUGUAGGGAGAACAGUCCUAAAACCAGAGUGGGGAAGGGGCCAUGGUUCUGUCGCUUCCCAGUGUCCCUGUCCAAGACCAAAACUGGAGAACUUCAGACUUUGUGGGGUUGUGGCCAAAGCCCCCCAAAGCCUGGGGGGGGGGCCGUACCUGGGGGCAGGACGGCUGCUCUCAGAGGCAAGUCCGAAGAGUGGGUGUCCGUAGAGACCUAGGCGAAUGGGCACGGCCAAAGCGGAAGGGCCGGGCCUCGUGUUUGCUUCCCCUGUAGCUGGGGUGACUUUCAGGUGACUUAUCUCCUCUGCGAUUGCGUCUAGGAUUCUUGUUCUCAGAUGCGCGGGCGCAGCCACUUGCAUUCUGUGAGCAGAAAGAGCCCCAAAGAUGCUUGCAAAGAAUAUUCAGAAGAAGAAGAAACUCCUGAAAGGCGAAGCCCGGGUCGAGUCCGCGAGGCUCCCUGAAAGAGGACCAGGAGCCCCUUGAGGGCAGGAGUUGAAUCCGAUGCAUCACACUGGUCCCAGCACACAGCACAAGGCCUGGCACAAAACACUUGGGGAGAUAGGAUCUGCAGCAGAGCGGAAAGGCCUUCCUGAAAAGCAGAGCUGGGAGAAGCCGAGAAAAAUCUGGGAAGGUGAUAAGGUACUGCCCUGAGAACUUGCCAUGCUGUGUGUGGGGGUGCGGGGCAGAGUGGGGCCAAGGGAGGUUGGGAUGCGUGUAGUUAACUGGCUGUCUUGGGCCCAGAGCAGUGUGGACAGCAGGAUUCCACUUUCUGAGCCAGGCCUGCUUGCCAGCCAGCCUCGACAGAAUUCUGAAACACCUCCUUUUUUGCUUUGCCCUGUACUGGGUCCUGGUGUCACCUUCUGAAGGGUUCAGCGUAGGAGUGCCUGGGCUCUAGAGCCAGACUGCCUGGAUUCAAAUCCAAUUUCUGCCAGUUACUUGUUGUGUGAUCUUGGGCAAGUCACUCAACCUCUCUGUGCUGCAGUUUCCUCAUCUGUAAAGUGGGGGAUGCUAUAUGUUAGUAAUGAUGGUGUAGUGAGGAUUAAGUAAAUUGAUCCACGUAGGGAGCUUAGAAGAGUGGCUAAGACAUAACAAGUACUGGGUAAGUGAUAGAUGUUGUUGUUAUUAUAUUAUUAUUAUUCUAGGAAGGUAAUACAAUUUCUUAAGUCCUUCCCUUGCUGAAGCUCUUUCGAUAUUGUGCCAUUGCCCUCAGGGUCAAGAGCAUUCUCCAUGCUGUCCUACAUCUGGUCCUUCCUCAUGCUCCAGCUUUGUCAUUCCUGAUCCACUACGCUUUGGUAGCCCAAAUGACCUGUGUUUUCCUGAAUGUACCAUACUCUUGCCUCUGGGCCUUUGCAUAUUUGGUUUUCUUGGUUUGAAAUUCCCCCUUACCAAGGGUGUACCCCACCCCCGACCAUGUGUGUGGCUGUUGCCAAAGAAGCUUUAUUUCUGAUGCUCAUCAGGUUUGAUGUCCACACCUGGGUCCUCCUGGCCUCCUGCGUCCCACUAUCCCAGCCCUUACCACCUGUUGUGAUGGUUCAGGAUUUGUUGUCCCCCGGGCUGUGUUGCCUCUCUGUGCCCGGUGUGCAGAGCAAGUCCUGACCCGGAGGAGGUUUAACAAAGACUAUUUGCUGAAUGAAUCUAGACGGGGGCACAGACAAGUACACCAAGCUGUCUGUCCUGAGGUCCUGUGAGCUUCUACAGAAGAGACAGUGCAAUCUGAGAACAUGGAAGUUUGAUAGGCAGUGAAGGGUGGUGGUUGCAAGAAUGGGCUCUUGAGGCCAAGAGACGGGUUGGAAUCUUGGCCCAACCACCUGUGAGGUGUGUGACCAAGGGCAAAUUGUGUAGCCUGCCAAAACUUCAAUUUCUUCCUUGGUAAAUAGCAAUAAUAAUAGACACUUGAGCAUGAAAUGAAAUAAUGCUAUAAAGCUUUGUCCUAUGUCUGGCACACAGUAAAGGCCAUUAGGUGGUGGCCAUGGAGGCAGAAGCCAGAUGCGGCAAACUGCGUCCUGAGGUAGUAAACCGUCUCUGGGCACUGCCUCUCACACUGUCAUCGAGGAGAGGCUACCUGGAAAUUUAUAGUGGAGACAGGACCUGCUGGGUGAGCCGACAACUAGCUGUCUGCCCUGUAGGAACAAGCCAACCAUUUCCAGAGAUGUCUUCUGGCAUUUGGGUUCUGAGGUUUGGUCCCGUGGCUUCUAGAAUUUUGCUUUAUUCUGUCUAGGAUUCUACCGUAUGGUUAAAGUCACCUCGUGGGCGGACAAGUGCUGACAUUCAUUCAUUCGCCACCUGCUGAGCACCUGCUCUGGGGCUGGGGUUGGAGAUGAUACCAAGACUGAUUGCUGCUGGGAGCCUGUCCUCGAACUGCUCACAGUCUGGAGGGGCAGGCAGAGAUGUAAACAGGAAAGUAAAGAGCUAGGUGUUAGGGACUGUGAAGCGGUCUGGGGCUGUGGCAGCGCUGACCCAGAUACCUGAUACUCCCGAGCCCUUUCUCUGUCUCAGAUGCCAU